This 1012-nucleotide long non-coding RNA is filed under the name Equus asinus (donkey). RNAcentral describes it as "lncRNA (ENSEASG00005032854.1)". The record is from RNAcentral. Lineage: Eukaryota; Metazoa; Chordata; Mammalia; Perissodactyla; Equidae.
UGAUUUCAAAGCUCUUAUUUUUUCUGCUUUGCCUUGUCUCCUUAAAGCCCAGCUAAGGAUUCUGGACUUUACAUGCAGAGGAGUGGAGGAGGACACCGGCUGACAGCAUCGCCAAACGUGUGUGCUCGGGGAGGGCCCGCUGUGCACCGGGUUGGCCUGGGUUCCCUCUGGGAACAGGAGGCAAACCAAGACACUGUCCCUGCCCUCAAAGAAUGAAUGAAUGUGGGAAAGCAGAGCCAUUAACAGCCACUUUCAUCAUAAUGUAAGAACAAUGCCGGCAGUUCAGAGGGACUAUGGAAACACCCUUCCAAAGAAAGCCUCCCCGACUAUCACCUGGGCUGUUUUAAAGUUGGAGGAGGUGGGAAAGGCCAUGUCAGGAGGAGGAAAAUGAACAGCGUGAGAACCAAGCAGCAAGUGCGAGCAGGCUGGAGCCAAUACAGCACGGUGUCUUCGCGUGUCUAGUCAUAAGAUGCUCCAGGGCUGAAGAGGGGAAGACAAGAAUAUCUCCCACCGCAGAAAACUCCAGGACUAUCUAACAGGUCACAUGCUCGGGGGCAAGUUUUAAAAGCUAUUCCUGGAGCAGGUGCUAGGACAGCACUGAGGAGCAUGUCAGUGCUUUCCCACACCCGUCACCCUUACCCUGGCUUUAAACCCUCUCCAGCUUUCUGCACUUGACGGUGAACCCCUGCGGAUCCAUGACUCAGAAGCUAGGCUGCCUAACUGAGUACUUCCCCCACUUGUCUUGCAUCUAUGGGGAAGUAUCAACUACUUUGCAAAGACAUUUUCCCAUCAUAUUACUAGAGAGUGGGGAAAGUGAAACUAAUCAAGCCACAUAAAAAUUCUCCCACAACUGGUUUUCAUUUGUGAAAUAUUUAUGCAGAAUUUAUAAGCUAUAAAGCCAGAAAUGACUUAUUUCAACAGCUUUGACGUUGCCAAACUGUGUGGGUGCAGCACUCCAAGGGGGAAUUACUCAAGUUUUUAAAACUCAGAGUCAAAGCAAAAAUGAUCUAAU